GAUGAACGCUGACAGAAUGCUUAACACAUGCAAGUCAACUUGAACUUCGGUUUGGGUGGCGGACGGGUGAGUAACGCGUAAAGAACUUGCCUCACAGAUAGGGACAACAUUUGGAAACGAAUGCUAAUACCUGAUAUUAUGAUUUUAGGGCAUCCUAGGAUUAUGAAAGCUAUAUGCGCUGUGAGAGAGCUUUGCGUCCCAUUAGCUAGUUGGGGAGGUAACGGCUCACCAAGGCGAUGAUGGGUAGCCGGCCUGAGAGGGUGAUCGGCCACAAGGGGACUGAGACACGGCCCUUACUCCUACGGGAGGCAGCAGUGGGGAAUAUUGGACAAUGGACCAAGAGUCUGAUCCAGCAAUUCUGUGUGCACGAUGAAGUUUUUCGGAAUGUAAAGUGCUUUCAGUUGGGAAGAAAAAAAUGACGGUACCAACAGAAGAAGUGACGGCUAAAUACGUGCCAGCAGCCGCGGUAAUACGUAUGUCACAAGCGUUAUCCGGAUUUAUUGGGCGUAAAGCGCGUCUAGGUGGUUAUAUAAGUCUGAUGUGAAAAUGCAGGGCUCAACUCUGUAUUGCGUUGGAAACUGUGUAACUAGAGUACUGGAGAGGUAAGCGGAACUACAAGUGUAGAGGUGAAAUUCGUAGAUAUUUGUAGGAAUGCCGAUGGGGAAGCCAGCUUACUGGACAGAUACUGACGCUGAAGCGCGAAAGCGUGGGUAGCAAACAGG
Molecule: ribosomal RNA, 722 nt
Filed under: uncultured Fusobacterium sp.
Lineage: Bacteria; Fusobacteriati; Fusobacteriota; Fusobacteriia; Fusobacteriales; Fusobacteriaceae
Description: bacterial SSU rRNA
Rfam family: Bacterial small subunit ribosomal RNA
Source: RNAcentral